Myotis brandtii (Brandt's bat) is the source of this 224-nucleotide long non-coding RNA. RefSeq lists it as uncharacterized. The record is from RefSeq and is a predicted model, not a curated record. NCBI's taxonomy places the organism in Eukaryota, Metazoa, Chordata, Mammalia, Chiroptera, Vespertilionidae. The transcript has 3 exons.
CAUCCUGAUCGGGCUCCCGGUGGCCCUGGUCCUGCUUCUCUCCCUCCUCCUCUUAUUCCUCCUCCGACACCGACGUCAGAGCAAAGGCAGGAUGUCAGGGACCACAGGCCCAGAGCCCAAGGACAGAGGCCUGCAGAUCAGCUCCAGCCCAGCUGUGGACGCCCAGGAGGAGCACCUCUGUGAGAGGAAGAGACAGCUGCCCUGGGGGAGGGGGUACAGGGUUU